Long non-coding RNA from Brachypodium distachyon (stiff brome), 968 nucleotides. RefSeq lists it as uncharacterized. The transcript is spliced from 2 exons. Lineage: Eukaryota; Viridiplantae; Streptophyta; Magnoliopsida; Poales; Poaceae. The record is from RefSeq and is a predicted model, not a curated record.
CUUGGAUGGGCAUCUCUCUUGUAAUUGGGUUAAACCCUACCCGCCGCAUUGUUCGUUCUGGUGUUGGCUAUCUACUUUAUCGCAAUAUAAACCCAAAAUCGCAAAAAAAAAAGAGUUAAUUGUGUUCUAUGCAGGGAUUCGCCUGUAAUCUCACUCGGCUAGUUCCUCGAAUCGUUCCAAGGGGUUACAGCCGUCCAGCCGCCCCACCUCCCUCCGUGCGAGAAAACGUGCGCCGCCAGCCCGCCACCGUGCCCUUCUCCCCCAAAUCGCGAGCCGCCGGAGUGCGCCGCCGCCGCCGCGGUCUUUUUCCGGAUCCAGCGGGAUCCGCGCCGUUCUUCCCCAAAUCGCGAACCACUGCGGUGUGCCGCCGCCGCGUUCUUCCCAAAGCCGCGCCGUUCUUCCCGAAGCCGCUCCAGCGGAUGCCUAGGUUUAUUGCUGUGCUGCUUGCCGCUCCAGCCACUCCUCCGUGGUCGUUGGUGACGAGGUGAUGCACAUCUCAACGGAUCGGCCAACGCCUCCAGGUAUUUACCCCAUCUGUUGUGAUAAAGAGUGUAAUGUGAUUGCACAAUGGUGAAAGUACGCCGAGAUGGUGGCAUUCUAUAGGACAUCAAAGCCGAGGAGAUGUAAACCGUAGAUCUUGGAUUGCUCGCACGAAUUCGUCUGUUAGCUUUGUGAACAAUCCGUGAACAACCGGGAGUAACAGGUUGGUAGGUUUACACUAUUUGUGAACAACCUUCCUCUGUCACCGUACAUCAGAGGACGCGAACAGCACCAGGAGCAAGGAGCAAGCACACGUCUGUGAACAACCUUCCCUAGAAAACAUUGUUUGGAUACCGCAGAUUGUGGAAUUUUUCCGGUUAGCAUAUUUGUUAGAUGUGAUUCUGAAAUGUAUUUUGUCGUAUAUGGAAUGUUUGGUUCAUCUCGAGUCAGAAGAGAAAGAUAGAAUCUAAUUUUGUUUUUUUAGUUUU